GCUGGACCUGCUGGACCCUGACAAAUUAUUACUCGCACUUAAGAACAGGCUGGUGAAUUCUGAGCUUCUGUGUGUCAGUCAAAUGUGCUAUGUGCAGAUUGUUUUGUUGCAGCCAGCCAGUGAUAGGUGUUCUUCUUGCUACCUUUACCAGCUGUAUGUUUCAUAAUCGCCGAAAUGUCGGCGAUUGUUAGCUGUACCUAUUCGGCUCUACGUCUGAUCUCGUGCAGAAACACUAAAGAGCUUGUAAAUUCAGAGACAGAGAUCCCUUUGCACAACUGUUGCAGAAAUUGAAAACACAACAAAGUCUGAGCUUCAUGGCUGUCAUUCAUUUAACAUGGUUUUGUUGCAGCCAGCUGGUGAAAGGUGCGAUCGAGUCAAGUUGAGCUGCAGCUGCUGCAUGCAGUUUAUUAAGCUGGUGUUAUCUGAACUCUGAAGUGUCACUGCAGGAAGACUUCUUGAAUUGUGGUUUUUCAGCCCCUUUCCAAUUGAGAUAUGCUCUGAAAUGGAGUUUGGUGCAGACUUGCAGUUCAACAUAACACUUAAAUGUGUCAUUUGCCUAUGUUGGUGUAUAUGCAGUAAUUGCAGUAUAUGCAGUGUUGAACAGUUGGGUAACAUAGUAAAUGAUGCCUGAUGGCUGCCGGGCUUAUUUUAUCGGCUGUGUUUUGUCGAUAUGUCGUCCCUUGGUACCGGGGUUGAGUUUCAUCGUUUUCUGCCGUUGCAUAGACUUGAUCCUGCCAAGUAUUACUCAGUUCCUAGCUACUACACCGAGGCUCCAACUUAUUACACCACCAAAGCGGCUGAAUACUACACCGAGCCGCCCAAGUACUACACCACCAAGGCUCCAGAGUAUUACACCACAACUUAUGCUUCCCCGAGGCACUACACUGAAGCCCCGAAGUAUUACUCUGCCUCAAGCUACACAACUACAACUGAGGCGGCCAAGUAUUACGCAGCCCCGACUUACUACACAGCGGCUGCUCCUUCGUACUACGUUGAACCGGAAUACUACACCGAGGCACCAGUUUACUACACCACAACCCACGCUACACCUAGCUACUACACCGAGGCCCCUAAGUACUACGCUACCAAGGCACCUGAGUAUUAUACCACUACUUUCGCUGCUCCGACCAGCUACACCGAAGCUCCGAACUAUUACUCUAUCCCGAGUUACUACACCACUAAGGCACCUGAAUAUUACGCCACACCCUACGCUUCUCCAACUUACUACAGCGACGUUUUCUGAUUUUUAUUGUAUCUUUCCUAUUUCACAUGUUGGAAGUGACUAUUGCUCUAGUCGCUCUGUAUUCCGACAUGUUCUGAUGUUGGGACGAACUUCAUUUACAGGGCAAGUUACGAAAGAUACGUAUUGUGGUGUUGACUUAAAAGAAAAAUGAUGUUAACGGCUCUGUUUUUAAUUUUAUUUGGUGUAACAAAGGAGUUGCAGAUAGUGUUUGGUUUCUCAUAGAAGUUUAUUUGAAGGGUCUGGAGUUGAUCAGAGUCAGAAAGUCAUUUGCCUAUAACAUAUGUAAAACUUCAAAGUUGUAAAAAAUAUAUAAAUCGUGAACUAAACAUUUUUUA
This 1578-nucleotide unclassified non-coding RNA is filed under the name Daphnia pulicaria. RNAcentral's name for it is "extensin-2-like, transcript variant X1". Lineage: Eukaryota; Metazoa; Arthropoda; Branchiopoda; Diplostraca; Daphniidae. The record is from RNAcentral.